AGAGUCGUGUGGCUCAGCAGAGGAUGCAAGAUCACCUUUCUGAACUCAGCUGCAUGGAGUCUGAACUUACUACUGAAAGGAAGGCUGAACACAAAAUUGAGAUGACUUCAACAAAUUCAGCAAAACAUGUAGGACUAAGGAUGAAGAUAGCCUUCUUCUUCCUUGACAAGGGAACUUCAAUCCAGGAUUACUCAUUUCAGUUUCCUCAUUGGACAUCUGAGGAAAAUGAUUCCCAGAGAGGUAAAUGGCAUGCCCGAGGUCACACAGCUGGCAAAGGAGCAGAAUAAAAUUUAUAAUUGAAUUGAGGGUUUUUAUACAAAAAUAUAGUUGAAUGUAACUAAAGAUGAAGUUUUUAAAUGUCACCACUAUGACUUACCUACACAUACCUGCUUAGAAUCUACGUAAGAGUGAAAAAGCUGGGUC
Long non-coding RNA from Manis pentadactyla (Chinese pangolin), 423 nucleotides. RefSeq lists it as uncharacterized. The record is from RefSeq and is a predicted model, not a curated record. The transcript has 3 exons. NCBI's taxonomy places the organism in Eukaryota, Metazoa, Chordata, Mammalia, Pholidota, Manidae.